This 201-nucleotide ribosomal RNA is filed under the name uncultured bacterium. Its description in RNAcentral is "partial 16S ribosomal RNA". It matches the Rfam family "Bacterial small subunit ribosomal RNA", at positions 336 to 526 of the family's 1533-position model. The record is from RNAcentral.
CUCCUACGGAGGCAGCAGUGGGGAAUCGUUGCGCAAUGCGCGAAAGCGUGACGCAGCAACGCCGCGUGGGGGAAGAAGGGCUUUCGGGUUGUAAACCCCGUUUCACGUUGGGACGAAGCUUCGCCGGUGAAUAGCCGGCCGGAGUGACGGUACCUUCACAAGAAGCACCGGCUAACUACGUGCCAGCAGCCGCGGUAAUAC